RNAcentral lists this ribosomal RNA (253 nucleotides) under uncultured bacterium. Its description in RNAcentral is "partial 16S ribosomal RNA". It matches the Rfam family "Bacterial small subunit ribosomal RNA", at positions 524 to 776 of the family's 1533-position model. The record is from RNAcentral.
UACGUAGGGGGCGAGCGUUGUCCGGAGUUACUGGGCGUAAAGGGCGUGCAGGCGGUGCAGUAAGUUUAGCGUGACAGUCUCCGGCUUAACUGGAGAAGGCCGCUGAAAACUGCUGGACUUGAGGGCCAGAGAGGGACAUAGAAUUCCGGGUGGAGUGGUGAAAUGCGUAGAUAUCCGGAGGAAUACCAAAGGCGAAGGCAGUGUCCUGGCUGGCAACUGACGCUGAGGCGCGAAAGCUAGGGGAGCGAACAGG